RNAcentral lists this ribosomal RNA (268 nucleotides) under Clostridium cavendishii DSM 21758. Its description in RNAcentral is "16S rRNA. Bacterial SSU". It matches the Rfam family "Bacterial small subunit ribosomal RNA", at positions 19 to 284 of the family's 1533-position model. Lineage: Bacteria; Bacillati; Bacillota; Clostridia; Eubacteriales; Clostridiaceae. The record is from RNAcentral.
CUGGCUCAGGACGAACGCUGGCGGCGUGCUUAACACAUGCAAGUCGAGCGAGCAGAUUCCCUUCGGGGAUGAAGCUAGCGGCGGACGGGUGAGUAACACGUGGGCAACCUGCCUUAUAGAGGGGGAUAGCCUUCCGAAAGGAAGAUUAAUACCGCAUAACAUCAGAUUAUCGCAUGGUAGACUGAUCAAAGGAGCAAUCCGCUAUAAGAUGGGCCCGCGUCGCAUUAGCUAGUUGGUGAGGUAACGGCUCACCAAGGCGACGAUGCGU